This 64-nucleotide transfer RNA is filed under the name Cichlidogyrus sclerosus. RNAcentral's name for it is "tRNA-Leu". The record is from RNAcentral. Lineage: Eukaryota; Metazoa; Platyhelminthes; Monogenea; Dactylogyridea; Ancyrocephalidae.
GCGGCCGUGUCAGAAGUAAUGAGCUGAUUUUAAGCGUCAGAUAUGGAGUUAUGUCCCGUUCGCU